UACGUAGGGUGCAAGCGUUAAUCGGAAUUACUGGGCGUAAAGGGCGCGUAGGCGGCCUUCUAAGUCGAACGUGAAAUCCCCGGGCUCAACCCGGGAACUGCGUCCGAUACUGGAAGGCUUGAAUCCGGGAGAGGGAUGCGGAAUUCCAGGUGUAGCGGUGAAAUGCGUAGAUAUCUGGAGGAACACCGGUGGCGAAGGCGGCAUCCUGGACCAGCAUUGACGCUGAGGCGCGAAAGCCAGGGGAGCAAACGGG
Molecule: ribosomal RNA, 253 nt
Filed under: uncultured bacterium
Lineage: Bacteria
Description: partial 16S ribosomal RNA
Rfam family: Bacterial small subunit ribosomal RNA
Source: RNAcentral